GAUGAACGCUGGCGGCGUGCCUAAUACAUGCAAGUCGAGCGAACGGACGAGAAGCUUGCUUUUCUGAUGUUAGCGGCGGACGGGUGAGUAACACGUGGAUAACCUACCUAUAAGACUGGGAUAACUUCGGGAAACCGGAGCUAAUACCGGAUAAUAUUUUGAACCGCAUGGUUCAAAAGUGAAAGACGGUCUUGCUGUCACUUAUAGAUGGAUCCGCGCUGCAUUAGCUAGUUGGUAAGGUAACAGCUUACCAAGGCAACGAUGCAUAGCCGACCUGAGAGGGUGAUCGGCCACACUGGAACUGAGACACGGUCCAGACUCCUACGGGAGGCAGCAGUAGGGAAUCUUCCGCAAUGGGCGAAAGCCUGACGGAGCAACGCCGCGUGAGUGAUGAAGGUCUUCGGAUCGUAAAACUCUGUUAUUAGGGAAGAACAUAUGUGUAAGUAACUGUGCACAUCUUGACGGUACCUAAUCAGAAAGCCACGGCUAACUACGUGCCAGCAGCCGCGGUAAUACGUAGGUGGCAAGCGUUAUCCGGAAUUAUUGGGCGUAAAGCGCGCGUAGGCGGUUUUUUAAGUCUGAUGUGAAAGCCCACGGCUCAACCGUGGAGGGUCAUUGGAAACUGGAAAACUUGAGUGCAGAAGAGGAAAGUGGAAUUCCAUGUGUAGCGGUGAAAUGCGCAGAGAUGUGGAGGAACACCAGUGGCGAAGGCGACUUUCUGGUCUGUAACUGACGCUGAUGUGCGAAAGCGUGGGGAUCAAACAGGAUUAGAUACCCUGGUAGUCCACGCCGUAAACGAUGAGUGCUAAGUGUUAGGGGGUUUCCGCCCCUUAGUGCUGCAGCUAACGCAUUAAGCACUCCGCCUGGGGAGUACGACCGCAAGGUUGAAACUCAAAGGAAUUGACGGGGGCCCGCACAAGCGGUGGAGCAUGUGGUUUAAUUCGAAGCAACGCGAAGAACCUUACCAAAUCUUGACAUCCUUUGACAACUCUAGAGAUAGAGCCUUCCCCUUCGGGGGACAAAGUGACAGGUGGUGCAUGGUUGUCGUCAGCUCGUGUCGUGAGAUGUUGGGUUAAGUCCCGCAACGAGCGCAACCCUUAAGCUUAGUUGCCAUCAUUAAGUUGGGCACUCUAAGUUGACUGCCGGUGACAAACCGGAGGAAGGUGGGGAUGACGUCAAAUCAUCAUGCCCCUUAUGAUUUGGGCUACACACGUGCUACAAUGGACAAUACAAAGGGCAGCGAAACCGCGAGGUCAAGCAAAUCCCAUAAAGUUGUUCUCAGUUCGGAUUGUAGUCUGCAACUCGACUACAUGAAGCUGGAAUCGCUAGUAAUCGUAGAUCAGCAUGCUACGGUGAAUACGUUCCCGGGUCU
This 1372-nucleotide ribosomal RNA is filed under the name uncultured bacterium. Its description in RNAcentral is "bacterial SSU rRNA". It matches the Rfam family "Bacterial small subunit ribosomal RNA", at positions 28 to 1381 of the family's 1533-position model. The record is from RNAcentral.